ACGAGGCGGCAGCAGGCGCAAAAACUUCGCAAUGUGGGAAACCACGACGAGGGAAUCCCAAGUGCCAACGAUUUUUCGUUGGCUGUUGCCCUGUCUAAAAAACAGGGAGGGUAAGGGCUGGGUAAGACUGGUGCCAGCCGCCGCGGUAAUACCAGCAGCCCAAGUGGUGAUCGUUAUUAUUGGGUCUAAAACGUCCGUAGUCGGCUUAGUAAAUUCUUGGGUAAAUUGUAAAGCUUAACUUUACGAAUUCCGAGGAGACUGCUAGGCUUGGGACCGGGGGAGGUCGGAGGUACUUCGGGGGUAGGGGUGAAAUCCUGUAAUCCUCGAGGGACCACCAGUGGCGAAGGCGUCUGACCAAAACGGGUCCGACGACAAGGGACGAAGCCUAGGGGCGCAAACGGGAUUAGAUACCCCGGUAGUCCUAGGUGUAAACGCUGCGGGCUUGGUGUUGGGGAUCCUAUGUGGGCGUCCAGUGCCGGAGUGAAGAUGUUAAGCCCGUUACCUGGGGAGUACGGUCGCAAGACUGAAACUUAAAGGAAUUGGCGGGGGGAGCAC
RNAcentral lists this ribosomal RNA (555 nucleotides) under uncultured archaeon. RNAcentral's name for it is "bacterial SSU rRNA". It matches the Rfam family "Archaeal small subunit ribosomal RNA", at positions 325 to 879 of the family's 1478-position model. The record is from RNAcentral.